UCUGGAAACAAAUGGACUAUGAAAUACAGCAAAGAGACAAUAUGUGCUUUAAAAGGGUCCACUGUGUUUAGGAAUGGCUCUUAUACACACCCAGACCAUCUUACAGUGACAGAAGCCUUUUGGUAUAUAGACCCAGAGGAUGAACACCAGUACUGCUACAGAAUCCAAACACGCACAGAGAAAUGGGUGGGUAUUCCUGGAAUACAGCUGAAAUUUACAGACACUGAGAAAACAAUACAGAGACCAUCGCCAUAGUAAUAAAGUCUACAGGAAACGUAUGUCUACAGGAAACGUAUGUAUGUGUCUGUGUGCCUGUGUGUGUGUGUGAGAGAGAGAGAGAGAGAGAUUGUUGGGUGAAGUGGCUGAAGGUAUGACAACCAUAUUUUAUUGCCUGGAUCUGGGUCAAAAUGUAAAAUUCCACAUUUUUCAGUCAGGACUUUGGAAUAACACAAAUAUCUAAUUUUA
Molecule: non-coding RNA, 465 nt
Organism: Electrophorus electricus (electric eel)
Lineage: Eukaryota; Metazoa; Chordata; Actinopteri; Gymnotiformes; Gymnotidae
Source: RefSeq, a predicted model, not a curated record